GACGAACGCUGGCGGCGUGCCUAAUACAUGCAAGUAGAACGCUGAAGGAGGAGCUUGCUUUUCUGGAUGAGUUGCGAACGGGUGAGUAACGCGUAGGUAACCUGCCUGGUAGCGGGGGAUAACUAAUGGAAACGAUAGCUAAUACCGCAUAAUAGUAGAUGUUGCAUGACAUUUACUUAAAAGGUGCAAUUGCAUCACUACCAGAUGGACCUGCGUUGUAUUAGCUAGUUGGUGGGGUAACGGCUCACCAAGGCGACGAUACAUAGCCGACCUGAGAGGGUGAUCGGCCACACUGGGACUGAGACACGGCCCAGACUCCUACGGGAGGCAGCAGUAGGGAAUCUUCGGCAAUGGACGGAAGUCUGACCGAGCAACGCCGCGUGAGUGAAGAAGGUUUUCGGAUCGUAAAGCUCUGUUGUAAGAGAAGAACGAGUGUGAGAGUGGAAAGUUCACACUGUGACGGUAUCUUACCAGAAAGGGACGGCUAACUACGUG
RNAcentral lists this ribosomal RNA (495 nucleotides) under uncultured bacterium. Its description in RNAcentral is "partial 16S ribosomal RNA". It matches the Rfam family "Bacterial small subunit ribosomal RNA", at positions 28 to 507 of the family's 1533-position model. The record is from RNAcentral.